This 71-nucleotide transfer RNA is filed under the name Camelus bactrianus (Bactrian camel). It matches the Rfam family "tRNA". Rfam says of the family: Transfer RNA (tRNA) molecules are approximately 80 nucleotides in length. Their secondary structure includes four short double-helical elements and three loops (D, anti-codon, and T loops). The record is from Rfam by way of RNAcentral. Lineage: Eukaryota; Metazoa; Chordata; Mammalia; Artiodactyla; Camelidae. RNAcentral also lists the same sequence under 2 other names.
GAGGAUAUAGCUCAAUGGUAGAAUGCAUGCUUUGCAUGCAUGAGGUCCUCAGUUCAAUUCCCAGUGCCUUA